CAGCCAGUGUCACACUUCCAAGCGCAUUUUGUUUCUACUCUCAAAAACAAUUAAAACAUCACCACAAAAGCUGAACCCAGCUUUCCUAACUUUCCCAUCUCUCGCUUAAAAAAGCAAGCAAACCCAACAAAAUUAAUCUAACUCAUGUAUCAAACCCCAUAAAAGCGAAACCAGCAGAACAAAUCAAGCGAUUCAAUGUUCCUAAAUUUCGACUCAGCAAUACUUUAGGCAGUUCAGCAUCCAACAAAAAAUUGAGGAAAAUAAAAGAGAAACAGAGCACUUCAAAUCUAAAAUGACAUGAAAAUCGAUGAUGAACAGCAAUGAAGAGGGAUUUGGAGUUGGUGACUA
Molecule: unclassified non-coding RNA, 348 nt
Filed under: Hevea brasiliensis (rubber tree)
Lineage: Eukaryota; Viridiplantae; Streptophyta; Magnoliopsida; Malpighiales; Euphorbiaceae
Source: RNAcentral